ACGGGAGGCAGCAGUGGGGAAUCUUGCGCAAUGGGCGAAAGCCUGACGCAGCAACGCCGCGUGGGGGAUGACGGCCUUCGGGUUGUAAACCUCUUUCGACAGGGACGAAGCUUUCGGGUGACGGUACCUGUAGAAGAAGCACCGGCUAACUACGUGCCAGCAGCCGCGGUAAUACGUAGGGUGCGAGCGUUGUCCGGAUUUAUUGGGCGUAAAGAGCUCGUAGGCGGUUUGUCGCGUCGGCCGUGAAAACCUGCAGCUUAACUGUGGACGUGCGGUCGAUACGGGCAGACUUGAGUUCGGCAGGGGAGACUGGAAUUCCUGGUGUAGCGGUGAAAUGCGCAGAUAUCAGGAAGAACACCGGUGGCGAAGGCGGGUCUCUGGGCCGAUACUGACGCUGAGGAGCGAAAGCAUGGGGAGCGAACAGGAUUAGAUACCCUGGUAGUCCAUGCCGUAAACGUUGGGCGCUAGGUGUGGGGAUGGGUUCCACCGUUUCCGUGCCGUAGCUAACGCAUUAAGCGCCCCGCCUGGGGAGUACGGCCGCAAGGCUAAAACUCAAAGGAAUUGAC
This 566-nucleotide ribosomal RNA is filed under the name uncultured bacterium. RNAcentral describes it as "bacterial SSU rRNA". It matches the Rfam family "Bacterial small subunit ribosomal RNA", at positions 341 to 914 of the family's 1533-position model. The record is from RNAcentral.